Bombus terrestris (buff-tailed bumblebee) is the source of this 597-nucleotide long non-coding RNA. RefSeq lists it as uncharacterized. Lineage: Eukaryota; Metazoa; Arthropoda; Insecta; Hymenoptera; Apidae. The record is from RefSeq and is a predicted model, not a curated record. The transcript is spliced from 2 exons.
CGCCAGUAGUAUCACGGUGACGAGCAGACGCGGUUGUCUUCUACCUUUCUCGCCGAUUUCUUGGUUUUCGUUCAGUAUCCGCUACGGCCACCCUCGAAACGACGUUCAUCAAUUAUGGACGAGAGACUUCAUCGAUGAGACGGCAUGAUAUCAACGACGAAAAAUGGAUCUGUCGGGUGUAGGACGAACCUUUCGAACCAACACUUUGGGACAAACGUUUCGCACGAAUGAGGGGAAGGAACGUUCAGAAGGAACAGUUGGAACGAAUACUUGGAACGAACACUUGGAACAAACGGUAGGUUGUUUUCACGAAAAUAAUCGGCCACCACGCUUCAAUCUUGUUCUACAAUCGUGCACCAAGUGUUCUUCCUAUAAUUGAAUAUCUCGUUCCGUUGUAUCGGUGUAUCGAACAUCUUGAAGAGGCCAGGAGUUCUCUGGUUCUCUCUAACUCGCUACCGUAACACGAUUGAAAUAUGCAGAAUACGGUGUUCCGCGGUGGGAAUAAAUAUUGGACGCUCGAAGUUUGGUAUCCUCUACAAUAGAUGAAAUGUAAAUGACACGAAUGUACCUAUCAAAUAAAUUCCAAACUGUUCGGUA